RNAcentral lists this ribosomal RNA (480 nucleotides) under uncultured bacterium. RNAcentral describes it as "bacterial SSU rRNA". It matches the Rfam family "Bacterial small subunit ribosomal RNA", at positions 28 to 526 of the family's 1533-position model. The record is from RNAcentral.
GAUGAACGCUGGCGGCGUGCCUAACACAUGCAAGUCGAACGUUAGGGUUUAGCAAUAAACCCGAAAGUGGCGAACGGGUGAGUAACACGUAGGUAACCUGCCGCGCAGAGGGGGAUAACGACUGGAAACGGUCGCUAACACCGCAUGGUACUGUUUUGAUGGGAAUCUGAACAGUUAAAACCUUGGUGCUGCGCGAGGGGCCUGCGUCCGAUUAGCUAGUUGGUGAGGUAAUGGCUCACCAAGGCUGUGAUCGGUAGCUGGUCUGAGAGGAUGAUCAGUCACACGGGAACUGAGACACGGUCCCGACUCCUACGGGGGGCAGCAGUGAGGAAUAUUGCACAAUGGACGCAAGUCUGAUGCAGCAACGCCGCGUGGAGGAUGAAGGUCUUUGGAUUGUAAACUCCUUUUCUCAGGGAAGAGUGAGGACGGUACCUGAGGAAUAAGUCACGGCUAACUACGUGCCAGCAGCCGCCGUAAUAC